GAAUGGAAGAGCCUGAAACUAAGGAUGGAAGUGAGGAGUAUGUCCUGAAGCUCUACUGGGAGAUGGCUGGAAGCACAAAGAAGGGAAAAACAACCGUCCCUGCAGGGGAGAUGAACCUACUCACGGUCUUCUGUAAGAAAGGACGGAGAAAAAAGGCACUUCAAGAUCUUGUACAAUCAAGGAUCAGCCACAGGGAAACACAUUUUUCAGCCUCCAAAGUAUUUCACCAGACUUGAUGAUCUAUUCAUUUUGAUACAUUCCCCUGUAUGACCUCAAGGUGGGAUGGGUUUUGUUGGAUGUGCCCAGGAGACUCAUCUGUCAUAUAAAGUUAGAGAAGAAUGGAGUAUCUCUACUAUAGCUGGCACUGCACAGAUGAAAUACUGCUUACCCAUUCCUGCAGUCAUUUUUAUAGCUACACAUCUGGGGUGAAGCUGUGAUUGUGUUUUGUUACCUCUUUUGAGUGUCACCAGCAGAUAGCUAGUAUAGUACUGGGGGAAUCAAAGAUGUCUAAGGUACCUUGGUGAAGUUUUUACUCUCCCUUUACUGUUACAGUGCGACUGUGGAAAAGAGUAUGGAUUUAUAGUUUACUUUUCCACACUCUGGACUUUUUGAUUUUCCUUUUUUAGGACUAGACUAGAUUUUUUUUAUUUGGAUGAGACUUAAAAUGAACAUCUAGUCCAACUGCCUGACCCCUUCAGCACUGUCAAGAUGUUAAAGGAUAUAUUAAGAGCAUUGUCUGAAGUUUUUUAACUCAUUAUUUUUUUAUUUACCUACAGACCAACUCUGCAUGUUGCUUCUAAUGGCACUGAAACUUCACUGCAUGUAUUGAAGCUAUACAGUUCUCUUUCUAGGUGUCUAUGGGCUUGCUUAUAAGCUAGGUGCCUCUAAUUCCAGAAACAUGACUAGCAUGUCAAAAUGGAAAGAUCCUUGACCAGAAAAAAAUUAAAACUCACGAGUGGUGGCAGAGUUCUCAGGCUGAAGUAUGCCAUGGUCAGAACACAUAGUUACCAAUCUAAGAGUCUAACAAAUAGUUCUACAUAGGACCAAAGCUUUAUGGUAACAUGCAUGGAGAAGGAUGAAAAUAAAACAUUCCACAUUAGUGCUUAUUUAUUGCUGCCUGCAUUACAGUUGUGACAGCCUAACAUUUUACAGUUCACUUCUGUUAAGAGCUGAUAAAUGGUUUAAUUUUUGGCCUGAUUCUUUGUCUAGAGAAAUCCACUCAUAUCAACAAGAAUAAGAUCAGUGUUCCCUGAGCACAGCUGCAGCAAGGCAGCUGGCUGCUAUCAGUAUGUAUUAAACUCACCUCUCAAGGUUCUCCUCCAGCCUCUACACCGACUCAUUU
Long non-coding RNA from Pogoniulus pusillus (Red-fronted tinkerbird), 1342 nucleotides. RefSeq lists it as uncharacterized. Lineage: Eukaryota; Metazoa; Chordata; Aves; Piciformes; Lybiidae. The transcript is spliced from 3 exons. The record is from RefSeq and is a predicted model, not a curated record.